CUGUAGACACGGUAGUUGAUCAGUGGCNCAGGACGAACGCUGGCGGCGCGCCUAACACAUGCAAGUCGAACGAGCGAGAGAGAGCUUGCUUUCUCGAGCGAGUGGCGAACGGGUGAGUAACGCGUGAGGAACCUGCCUCAAAGAGGGGGGACAACAGUUGGAAACGACUGCUAAUACCGCAUAAGCCCACGGUGCCGCAUGGCACAGAGGGAAAAGGAGCAAUCCGCUUUGAGAUGGCCUCGCGUCCGAUUAGCUAGUUGGUGAGGUAAUGGCCCACCAAGGCAACGAUCGGUAGCCGGACUGAGAGGUUGAACGGCCACAUUGGGACUGAGACACGGCCCAGACUCCUACGGGAGGCAGCAGUGGGGAAUAUUGCACAAUGGGGGAAACCCUGAUGCAGCGACGCCGCGUGGAGGAAGAAGGUCUUCGGAUUGUAAACUCCUGUUGUUGGGGAAGAUAAUGACGGUACCCAACAAGGAAGUGACGGCUAACUACGUG
This 498-nucleotide ribosomal RNA is filed under the name uncultured bacterium. RNAcentral's name for it is "bacterial SSU rRNA". It matches the Rfam family "Bacterial small subunit ribosomal RNA", at positions 1 to 507 of the family's 1533-position model. The record is from RNAcentral.